Molecule: transfer RNA, 116 nt
Filed under: Thielaviopsis punctulata
Lineage: Eukaryota; Fungi; Ascomycota; Sordariomycetes; Microascales; Ceratocystidaceae
Description: Ceratocystis radicicola tRNA
Rfam family: tRNA
About the family: Transfer RNA (tRNA) molecules are approximately 80 nucleotides in length. Their secondary structure includes four short double-helical elements and three loops (D, anti-codon, and T loops).
Source: Rfam by way of RNAcentral
GCUUCGAUGGCGCAGUGGUAGCGCAGUGGUCUCAUAUUUCAUGAGGAGUCUGAUUUCAAACAUCCAAAAUGUAAAAUGCCAUCCAAAGGUCGUGAGUUCGACCCUCACUCGGAGCA